Molecule: ribosomal RNA, 507 nt
Filed under: uncultured glomeraceous AM fungus
Lineage: Eukaryota; Fungi; Glomeromycota; Glomeromycetes; Glomerales; Glomeraceae
Description: SSU rRNA
Rfam family: Eukaryotic small subunit ribosomal RNA
Source: RNAcentral
AGCAGCCGCGGUAAUUCCAGCUCCAAUAGCGUAUAUUAAAGUUGCUGCAGUUAAAAAGCUCGUAGUUGAAUUUCGGGACCAAUAUGUCGGUCGUGCCUCGGUACGUACUGGCAUCGUUGGUUUCUCCCUUCUGACGAACCAUGAUGUCAUUCAUUUGGUGUCGUGGGGAAUCAGGACUGUUACUUUGAAAAAAUUAGAGUGUUUAAAGCAGGCUCACGCUUGAAUACAUUAGCAUGGAAUAAUGAAAUAGGACGUUUGAUUCUAUUUUGUUGGUUUCUAGGAUCGUCGUAAUGAUUAAUAGGGAUAGUUGGGGGCAUUAGUAUUCAAUUGUCAGAGGUGAAAUUCUUGGAUUUAUUGAAGACUAACUACUGCGAAAGCAUUUGCCAAGGAUGUUUUCAUUAAUCAAGAACGAAAGUUAGGGGAUCGAAGACGAUCAGAUACCGUCGUAGUCUUAACCAUAAACUAUGCCGACUAGGGAUCGGAUGAUGUUAAUUUUUUAAUGACUCA